UUGCAGUCUUGCCGCCACCGGAGAAGCUAGUCUCUAACAUUCGAAAACACUAUAAUUUGUUAGUUAACACUCAGGUUUGAACUCACCUGUGAAACACUCAUUUUUUUCCAUUUCCAGUUUUUUCGCAACGAAUGAUUAAGAUAUUACCAAUUUUUAGAUAUAGCAUGGAGUAUUUUUAUGCGAUGUGUGUUUCUUGGUUUCGAAUAUGGAAGAAAUUUGUUAUCUCAAAUCAAAGGUUGUUGGCGUGUAGAUUUUUUUUGUUUGUUUGUUUAAUUGGUCUCCGAUGUGAAAAAUUCAGCUCUAGUAACACGGAGAACUGUGUUUCUGUCAUUUUUUUUUUUUUUUUUUUUUUUUACUUGCGUUUUCUGGGCUGCCAAACGGAAAGAUGUGGAGAUUCUGGUGAAAAUUUUUGAUAAUCUGUUUUGAUGCGAUUUAUAGGUGAAAGGGAGCUUUUUUUCUGAGGUGAUGCCAAGGUGAUUUUCUGUUAGCGGUUUCGAUUUUCAAUUCCAUUUAAUCUGCUCCAUGUUGUUGAGUGAGUGAACAAUAUUGGGAUUAAGGGUUCUAGUGUUACAUGAAAAAUUGAUUUGGAUUUGUAUGGGUUUGGGGCAUUUCUCUGCUUCAAUGUUAAAAAUAUGUUUUGGCUAUAUUGUAACAUGGGGUUAACAGGUUACUUUGUAACAUGGGGUUAACAGGUUAACAGAAUUUUAUGAUGGCGCAUGAAGAAGAUAGGAGAAGAAAAACUAUUUUUUCAUUUUUCAAAUCAAAAGUUAAUAUAGCAAAAAGUAAUACACUUUCUCUAUCUAACGUUGGUACUUCAAUUUUUCAGAUUCAGAUUCAAUAGUAGAUGAUUUCUAUUCCAUGAAAAAACGUCGGGCACAACUUCAAUAGGUAAUUUUUUUUUAAUAUUUGUCCGUUUAUGUUCACUUUUGCUAUAUAUUGUUAUGAAAUUAUUUGGUUUAUAUAAUUUUUGCAUGUACAUGUUCUAUAAACUUUUUUUUUUGGUAAUUCAUUAAAAUUUUUCAUAGCCCAGUACAAAUUAAAAUCCUGGUUCCGCCCUUGGGUGUUGAUGCAAGAAGGUCGUCGUUUGGUGUUGGUGCUAUUGACAGGGUAGGAUUGUCAUUUACCAGUGUUGGUGCCAGAACGUCGUCAUCUAUUGUUGGUGUAGGUACCGGUAUAAGAUCACCAUUUAUCGUUGUUGUUGGGUGCGGUUAAGGAAUGUCCUCAUAUGUUGUUGGUGCUGGUGUCGGCGUAGAAUCAUUUACUAGUGUUGGUGCAGGAAGGUCAUUCAUAUAUUGUUGGUGAUGGUGCAGGACUGUGACAAACAUGGUUAGAGCAAUGACGUUUAAGCCAACAAGCAAAGCAACUACUGCAAAACCUUUUGUCAAAGCAAUCCUUAUCAAUUUCCACAACAAUUUUACAACAGGUAUCGCUAAUCGCAGUCUGUGAAUCCCUUAGUAACUUGUUAAUUUCACCUGCGCAUGAAGGCAUGCGAUGGAAGGCUGACAAACAUUUCUUGACAAUGGCAGGAGGUGCCCAGGGGAAUGGUAUUCUAGGACCUGAUCUCCAAUGUAAUAGCAACAUCUUUGUGUCCAUGUUUGAGUCUGCAUCCGUUUCACUCUUGUCAAGCCUUGGUUUGUUAACAUGAGCAUGCAAGCAAGAAUACAAAGAAUGGGACUAAAACUCCUCUCAUUGUCUCUCUAUGUCUUUAACCUUUGUUUUUGGAAGUAAUAUAGCUAUGUGUUAUGGCGAUCUAGUUGCCAUUUAAAGAGUCGAUAUGAGAGUUUGUUUGAAUAGGAAACUGAGUAUUAGUUACAUUGGUCAUCAUUGAAAGUGAUAGAUCAUCCAAUUAAAUUGUGUGUGAAUAUGUUCCAUUACUAUUCUGGUCUUAAUGGAUUAUCAUUUU
This 1903-nucleotide long non-coding RNA is filed under the name Actinidia chinensis (golden kiwifruit). RNAcentral's name for it is "long non-coding RNA (ACHI_LNC009255)". The record is from RNAcentral. Lineage: Eukaryota; Viridiplantae; Streptophyta; Magnoliopsida; Ericales; Actinidiaceae.